CAUUCAGAGCAUCAGUGUCAAGUUGUCUUGCAAUUUGAAAUCAUUUACAAUGCAAUACUUUAUUUUCACUUUCUUAAUUGUGUUGGCAGCUUUGAGCUGUAUGACCGUCACAGCUGAAUUUGACAGAAUUAAAUCUGAGGCUGCUCACGGUACAUUGAGAAUGGUCUUCGACCUUUUAGGAAAAGUUAUAGAGAACUUUGAUAUUUAAUUGAAAAAUUCAAGUCUUUGAAAAAUAAGCAUCUUUGUGAACUUGAAUUUAAAAAAUGUUUUCAAUAAUCGUAUGGCAAUAUGAAAUUUGUAAUUGAUAAUAAACUGGAAUUAUUGUUUGCUUUGUAAUGUUCAUCAAGAAUAAAUAAAAAA
Long non-coding RNA from Leptopilina heterotoma, 360 nucleotides. RefSeq lists it as uncharacterized. The transcript has 3 exons. Lineage: Eukaryota; Metazoa; Arthropoda; Insecta; Hymenoptera; Figitidae. The record is from RefSeq and is a predicted model, not a curated record.